UACGAAGGGGGCUAGCGCUGCUCGGAAUUACUGGGCGUAAAGCGCACGUAGGCGGUCUUUUAAGUCGGGGGUGAAAUCCUGGAGCUCAACUCCAGAACUGCCUUCGAUACUGGAAGACUUGAGUCCGGGAGAGGUGAGUGGAACUGCGAGUGUAGAGGUGAAAUUCGUAGAUAUUCGCAAGAACACCAGUGGCGAAGGCGGCUCACUGGCCCGGUACUGACGCUGAGGUGCGAAAGCGUGGGGAGCAAACAGG
RNAcentral lists this ribosomal RNA (253 nucleotides) under uncultured bacterium. RNAcentral describes it as "partial 16S ribosomal RNA". It matches the Rfam family "Bacterial small subunit ribosomal RNA", at positions 524 to 776 of the family's 1533-position model. The record is from RNAcentral.